This 113-nucleotide ribosomal RNA is filed under the name Helicobacter sp. MIT 14-3879. RNAcentral describes it as "partial 23S ribosomal RNA". It matches the Rfam family "Bacterial large subunit ribosomal RNA", at positions 2821 to 2925 of the family's 2925-position model. The record is from RNAcentral. Lineage: Bacteria; Pseudomonadati; Campylobacterota; Epsilonproteobacteria; Campylobacterales; Helicobacteraceae.
CUUUCCCUGAAGGUCGCAGCAAGACUAGCUGCUUGAUAGGGUAGAGGUGUAAGCACAGUAAUGUGUUUAGCUGACUACUACUAAUAGACCGUUUGGCUUAUUUGAUAUUUUAA